RNAcentral lists this ribosomal RNA (253 nucleotides) under uncultured bacterium. Its description in RNAcentral is "partial 16S ribosomal RNA". It matches the Rfam family "Bacterial small subunit ribosomal RNA", at positions 524 to 776 of the family's 1533-position model. The record is from RNAcentral.
UACGUAGGGACCAAGCGUUGUUCGGAUUUACUGGGCGUAAAGAGCGUGUAGGCGGCUCGGUAAGUCCGCUGUGAAAGUCCAGGGCUCAACCCUGGAAUGCCAGUGGAAACUGUCGAGCUAGAGUCCGGAAGAGGCGAGUGGAAUUCCUGGUGUAGCGGUGAAAUGCGCAGAUAUCAGGAGGAACACCAAUGGCGAAGGCAGCUCGCUGGGACGGUACUGACGCUGAGACGCGAAAGCGUGGGGAGCAAACAGG